ACCUGCGGAAGGAUCAUUACCGAGUGAGGGCCCUCUGGGUCCAACCUCCCACCCGUGUUUAUUUUACCUUGUUGCUUCGGCGGGCCCGCCUUAACUGGCCGCCGGGGGGCUUACGCCCCCGGGCCCGCGCCCGCCGAAGACACCCUCGAACUCUGUCUGAAGAUUGUAGUCUGAGUGAAAAUAUAAAUUAUUUAAAACUUUCAACAACGGAUCUCUUGGUUCCGGCAUCGAUGAAGAACGCAGCGAAAUGCGAUACGUAAUGUGAAUUGCAAAUUCAGUGAAUCAUCGAGUCUUUGAACGCACAUUGCGCCCCCUGGUAUUCCGGGGGGCAUGCCUGUCCGAGCGUCAUUUCUGCCCUCAAGCACGGCUUGUGUGUUGGGCCCCGUCCUCCGAUCCCGGGGGACGGGCCCGAAAGGCAGCGGCGGCACCGCGUCCGGUCCUCGAGCGUAUGGGGCUUUGUCACCCGCUCUGUAGGCCCGGCCGGCGCUUGCCGAUCAACCCAAAUUUUUAUCCAGGUGACCUCGGAU
RNAcentral lists this ribosomal RNA (527 nucleotides) under Penicillium chrysogenum. Its description in RNAcentral is "eukaryotic LSU rRNA". The stretch from base 196 to 348 matches the Rfam family "5.8S ribosomal RNA". The record is from RNAcentral. Lineage: Eukaryota; Fungi; Ascomycota; Eurotiomycetes; Eurotiales; Aspergillaceae.